GCUCCUAUAGCUCAGUGGUAGAGCACUCCCUUGGUAUGGGAGAGGUCGGCGGUUCAAAUCCACCUAGGAGCACCA
RNAcentral lists this transfer RNA (75 nucleotides) under Magnetococcales bacterium. RNAcentral describes it as "tRNA-Thr". It matches the Rfam family "tRNA". Rfam says of the family: Transfer RNA (tRNA) molecules are approximately 80 nucleotides in length. Lineage: Bacteria; Pseudomonadati; Pseudomonadota; Magnetococcia; Magnetococcales. The record is from RNAcentral.